RNAcentral lists this ribosomal RNA (1609 nucleotides) under Planctomycetota bacterium. RNAcentral describes it as "bacterial LSU rRNA". It matches the Rfam family "Bacterial large subunit ribosomal RNA", at positions 1396 to 2925 of the family's 2925-position model. The record is from RNAcentral. Lineage: Bacteria; Pseudomonadati; Planctomycetota.
CCGAGGCCGAAAGGCGUAGGGGAAGGGAAGGGGGUUAAUAUUCCCCCGCCACCCGAGUGGAGGACGCGGGGUGACGCAGGAGGGAAAGCCGAGCCGGGAGGUGGUUUUCCCGGUCUAAACCUCUAGGGGGCUCCCCUAGGCAAAUCCGGGGAAGCGUCUCAGACAUAUGUCUGGGCCAACCCUGAGGGGUGAUGGGGAGGGGGACUUCGGUCCCCCGAACUCGGCUGGACCACACUGCCGAGAAAUAGCCUCGCGUUCCUGUGAAACUCGGGUGACCGUACCGCAAACCGCCACAGGUGGGCGGGCAGAGUAUGCUAAGGUGCGCGGGUUAUCCCCCGCUAAGGAACUCGGCAAUUUGGCCCCGUAACUUCGGGAGAAGGGGUGCCCCUAGUAGGUGAAACCCCUUUUAUUAAAAGAGCGGGGAGUAGCCGAACGGGGUCGCAGCGAAGAGGGCCUGGCGACUGUUUACCAAAAACACAGGGCUCCGCCAACUCGAAAAAGAGGAGGUAUGGGGCCUGACGCCUGCCCAGUGCCGGAAGGUUAAGGGGAGGGGUGAAAGCCCCGAACCUAAGCCCCGGUAAACGGCGGCCGUAACUAUAACGGUCCUAAGGUAGCGAAAUUCCUUGUCGGGUAAGUUCCGACCUGCACGAAUGGCGUAACGACUGGGCCAGUGUCUCGGCGGGGGGCCCGGCGAACUUGUAGUGGUGGUAAAAAUGCCACCUACCCGCGGCGGGAGCAAAAGACCCCGUGGACCCUUACUGCAGCCUGGCGUUGGGUUCUGGCUGGUCAUGUGCAGAAUAGGUGGGAGGCUGUGAAGCCGGGGCGCCAGCUCCGGUGGAGCCGUCAGUGAGAUACCACCCUUGGCCAGUCGGGGCUCUAACCUCCACGGUGGAGCCCGUGGAGGGACAGCGCUUGGUGGGCAGUCUUGCUGGGGCGGCAGCCUCCUGAAAGGUAACGGAGGCGCCCAAAGCUCCCCUCAAGGCGGACGGCAACCGCCUGGUGAGUGCAAGGGCAGAAGGGGGGUUGACUGUGAGGCCGACAGGCCGAGCAGGGGGGAAACCCGGGCCUAGUGACCCGGCGGUCCCGUGUGGAAGGGCCGUCGAUCAGCGGAUAAAGGGUACCCCGGGGAUAACAGGCUGGUCCGGCCCGAGAGUUCCCAUCGACGGCCGGGUUCGGCACCUCGAUGUCGGCUCACCCCAUCCUGGGGGUGAAGAAGCUCCCAAGGGUUGGGCUGUUCGCCCAUUAAAGGGGUCCGUGAGCUGGGUUCAGACCGUCGUAAGACAGGUCGGCUUCUAUCCGCCGUGGGCGCAGGGCACUUGAGGGGGGCUGCCCCUAGUACGAGAGGACCGGGGUGGGGGGACCUCUGGUGUACCGGUUGUCCCGCCAGGGGCACAGCCGGGUAGCCAUGUCCCUAAGCGAUAACCGCUGAAAGCAUCUAAGCGGGAAGCGCGCCCCAAGAUAAGGUGCCCCUUCCCUUCUCAUACCUGGCAAAAGCCAGGUAUGAGAAGUGGAGUAAGGCCCCCGGAAGACUACCGGGUAAAUAGGCGGCAGGUGUAAGUCCCGUAAGGGAUUGAGCCGAGCCGUCCUAAUCGGCCGAGUGGCUUAAACU